CCAAAACAAGGGAGGCACGGCCAGGGGAAGGGAGGCGACAUGAACUCGUCGUCGGGCGAAAGAAAGGGAGGCACGGCUGCGAAUCCGCUCUCAUGGAAUUCCUCUUUUCGCUCACGGAGUUCACACCCACGGUAAGUCGUCUGGGAUAAAACCCUUGUUCUCUCUUCUUUUUCGCUCCCAAUCUUCGAAUCUUGUUUUCUUCUCGAUUUCGUGGCGUGGAGGGGAGGAGUAGAUUCCGGACGAGCUGGUGGAACACUACCUCUCCAGCAGCGGCUUCCACCGCCCAGACUUGUAGGUAUUCUCUCCCCUUCUUCUCCUUCUUCUUCUUGUAAUUUCCCCUUCUUCCUAUCUGGCCCUCAUGAGCAGUUCUUUAUUCCUUCUAUCGACCAAAUGCCUUGUUUUAUACAUAUAAGAUGGCUGAAUUGAUGGUUUCCUUUUUUUACUUUGUUCUUCCGCUUUCCUUUUUCACUUUGCUUCUAAUCCUAGAAAAUUUUGAUGAUUUGAUGCUUCUUGUACGUGGUUGUUCUUGACCUUUGUUUAACCUCAGUUUAACUUUCUUGUACAUGCCAAAUAGCAGCCAAAUAGUAGUUGUUUCAUUGUGAUGGUCGUAUUGGAUAUGCGGUGCUUCUUGAAAAUUAAGCAAUGAGAAAUUUUGUGUUAAUAAUAAGAUUUAGAUUAAAGAAUGUAGGCUGGACUGGAACUUUUUCCUCCUUGUUGUGGAAGCCGUGCUAGGGUCACGGGGGCUGGGCGGAGGUGGUGAACAGCCAGUGGCAGCGACCAGCUGGCGAGAAAAACAAAAGAAAACCGUCGAAUCACGGGAUUCACUUGACUCUGUUUUGAGCGUCAGGCCAUGCACCGGCAGCCAUGAUUUCUGCCGUGUGGGAUUGCAAAGAGGUCAAGGAGCUUGGCUGGGGUUCUGGAAUCAAGAUGCAGCGGCAUUUGUGGCCGGAAAAAGCGAAACCUCAUUCAAAAAUGCUAGUCAGAAGAUAUUAUUUAGAUUUCUUGACCUUCUAUAAGUAUCUAAGAUCUACCUAGUACGUAGUCAAUGUAGGACUAAACACACAUCCACACAAAUCCUCACAUACUCUUCUUGUUUAAGUCUUGGCAUCCUCAUCAGGCGGUCUAAAUCUAUUCAAAUCUAAUUGCAAGCACCACAAUCAAUUUGUGGCCAGCCCUAUUAGACCUGUGCUAUAGUGUCUCCUAAUUCAUAUUGGCCAUUAUCUGGGUCUACUCUGAUAACAUUUUUAACAAUCCAGGAUCUCACCUGAAAAGGCUGGUCAAAAAGUAUUAUUUGGAUCUAUCUAGUACAUAGUAAGCAUAUAGAGUAAGAAAGAAAAAGGAAAAUCAAGGCUUUACUUUGGCUUCGGUGAUAAUCGCAGCCUUGGUUUCGAGCGGCUACAAUAAUAGGAUGUGUUGGACUCUAGUGGGAAAGAAGGUUAUGUUCAGUGGUGGAGAGUUGUGGAGGAGCACGGAGGCAUCCUUGUGCAGGAGCCCUAGGGCUUUGCCUGAGUCUAGUGGCUCUAGGACUCCGAUUCCAUCUGGAGUCUUUGGAGAGGAAGAAGAAUUCCUCUCUUUUGCUACUUGUCAUGUGCGAAUCAUGUGCAGGGCCAGCGAUGGGCCAAGACCAGCUCAGGCUGGUCAAGUAGACUGGGCCUUGACCAGGCCUUCACCAAAUGGGAGGGAUUGGUCUUGCUUAUUGAUGUCAUUGAAAAGGCUGAUUGCAUUGGAAAGCUGGAUGCAAUAUAUUUUGUUGUGCCACAACCAAUAGUGAUCAUGUAUUCUUCCCUUUUGUUUUUUUGUUGUUAUGUUAAUCUGAUUGAUGCAGAUCAAAAUAGUUAUGGAUGUGGCAGCUUCAGAUUUUUUCACAGGGGAGGGAAAUAUGAUUCAGAUUUUAAGAGAAAGACAGAUGAUGGGGCUUAUGUUGAUACAGCUCAGAGCUUCUGUGAAUUGUAUAAAGAAUUUGUUAGAGACUUCCAUAUUGUGUCCACUGAGGAUCCUUUUGUCCAAGAUGACUGGAGUUCUUGGGCAUCUUGGCAAUCUUCAGUUGAUUUCCAACUAGUUGGUAAUGAUUCAUUGGUUACUAAUCCAAGGAGGAUAACUAAAGCAAUACAGGAGGAGGCUUGCAAUGGUUUGCUAUUAAAAGCAAGCAUUUAGCAUCCUUUGUUACUAUUAAAUCAUAAGUUUGGCAAGUCGAAUAUUUGAUAUGGUUAGAUAAUUACCUGAACCUAGAAGCACUUUGUUUUUACAAGUUGUAAGGUUUCACCACAAUGGAUAUCAACAGAUAAUUACUUUAACUACUCUAUAUCUAGAUUCAUACCUGCCGGUACCAUGUGAUGGAGUUCAGUGGAAAAUUCAUUCAUGGAGGGGAAAAAAGUAGAUUAUUGUUAUGUAUAUCUGACAAAAUAGAGUAUUUGGUUCUUGGAUUGUUCAAAUUUAUGUUGAGCAACUUUCUUGUAAAUGAGCUGCCUAUCAUUGCGCACAUCCUGUUUAGGUUGCUUCCUGUGCUACGCAGGGAAAUACUAUGUAGUUUGGACUGCAGGACUACUCUUAGGAUCAGGUGCAUGAUGCAUGUACCCCUAAUAACAUUGCCUUGUUUGAUCUCAGACAUGUGUUCAUGUAAAUGCUUUUUAUUAAUAUGAACUCUUAUUGGUUAUUUUAAUUCUGAGUUUAGACAAUUGGAACAGCAUGUAAUUCUCAGAACAUUCAAAAGAAAAAGAUUAUAAGAACCUUCAACAGAAAAGGCAAUGACUAUCCAUCUUAAGUUUAUUUUCCGGUCAAUCGAAUUGGCGCAGCUAGUGAAUCCAUUAAAGUUGCUCUUGACUCAAAAGCUGCAGGCUGGGGAGCGAUGGUGAGUCACUAUAGUGGGGAGACAGAAUACAAUUUUACUAGUAUCUCCCCAUGGAACUAUUUGUAUGCAACGUUCCUUGACAAUGAUGACUAGUCUUUGUAGUAGUAAUUUUUUUUUCCCCUUUUGGAAGUCUUGCUUCCUAGUAUCCUCAGUUCUCAAUUAUCAUGACCAUUAGCUUCUAAGCAUUUUCAUAUCUGUUUGUGAAUAAUUCUUUUGCUCUGGCAGUUCUUCUCAAUGGAUAGAUUGUAGAUCCGUAAUAUUCAGCCUCCACUUCUCAUGUCUAUCAACUCAGUUGGCUUCUCCUCAUGGAGGUCCUUUAAGGUCUUUUUUCUUAUGUGAAUAUACCAUUACUAUCAGUUCUCUAUUUCUUAUACUUUUUUGAUGCCCUUCCUAAUUUUUUUGGUUCACACUGUUCAAAUUCUUAAAGAUUAGAAUGAUGAUGCUAUAUUCAAAGUUGAGUGGAAUUCUUGAAAAAUCUAGAGACAUCAGUUGUAGUAAGGAUUGUGUCAUGAUAAAGAUGAGGUACUAGAACCAAGCUCACUGUAGGUUAGUAUUUUCUGCAGGUCAGCAAAGUCCAUAAGAUUUUGUAGAAUUUAUGAGCUUAAAUAUAUUUACCAAGGCAGAUUUUGAAUUUUUUCAUAGGGCUAUCCUUUUGGUUCCUGAAAUAAUAUCUUGAGUUUCAAUGUCAAUUUCUUUGUUGUAUUCAUACUCUCUAGACAUUCAGCUUUGUUGUUAUUUGUCCUGUUCUGUGUAACCCUUCUACUCACAUUUAUUAAAUUUCAUAUGUAGUUUGGAAGAGUUAAUUUUACUCUGUUUUAAAACAUGAUAUCAAUAGUGCAUGUCUUUUGCAGCAUCAACAUGUUGAUGAUUGGACUACCUCUUGCAUUCUGUUAUCUCGACAAACAUGGUACUCUUAAGCACUUUAACUUCCAGUGAGGCAUGAAACUAUGAGCCUUUGGAUCUCAAGUUAAUGGUUUAGAGAACUUAAUGAAGCAGAGAGAGAGCUUUUGAGAGUAUUGGAUUCUAAAUGAGUUUUUUCCCUGGCCUAGAAGAAAGGUGUUUGUUCCUGAAUGUUUAUCAUAAAUCAAUGAUAGCCCUCUUAAAAUUAAAAUCAUAUAUGUAAUUAUAUUCUACAAUCUAAAAUGCCUGGAAACUAAGAGUUACUUGUUUGAAAAUCUUUUAUCUCAAAAUCAAUUUUAUCACCAGUCGAUAUGUAUUUCAAGAUGUACAAAUCAACAUUAAUAGUCUGGAUUUUAAAUACUUUAUUUAUCCAUUUAUAUGAGAGAAGGGAGGGAG
RNAcentral lists this long non-coding RNA (4144 nucleotides) under Elaeis guineensis (African oil palm). RNAcentral's name for it is "long non-coding RNA (EGUI_LNC030899)". The record is from RNAcentral. Lineage: Eukaryota; Viridiplantae; Streptophyta; Magnoliopsida; Arecales; Arecaceae.